Molecule: ribosomal RNA, 253 nt
Filed under: uncultured bacterium
Lineage: Bacteria
Description: partial 16S ribosomal RNA
Rfam family: Bacterial small subunit ribosomal RNA
Source: RNAcentral
UACGAGAGGCGCAAACGUUAUUCGGAUUUACUGGGCUUAAAGAGUUCGUAGGCGGCGCAGAAAGUAGGGUGUGAAAGCCCUCGGCUUAACCGAGGAAUUGCGCUCUAAACUACUGUGCUUGAGGGACCUAGAGGUGAGCGGAACUGAUGGUGGAGCGGUGAAAUGCGUUGAUAUCAUCAGGAACACCGGAGGCGAAGGCGGCUCACCGGGGGUCUUCUGACGCUGAGGAACGAAAGCCAGGGGAGCGAACGGG